Molecule: ribosomal RNA, 428 nt
Filed under: uncultured bacterium
Lineage: Bacteria
Description: bacterial SSU rRNA
Rfam family: Bacterial small subunit ribosomal RNA
Source: RNAcentral
UGGGGAAUCUUCCGCAAUGGACGAAAGUCUGACGGAGCAACGCCGCGUGUAUGAUGAAGGUCUUCGGAUUGUAAAGUACUGUCAUUGGGGAAGAACGGUUUUCUUGAAAAGAUUGAGAAGACAUGACGGUACCCAAGGAGGAAGCCCCGGCUAACUACGUGCCAGCAGCCGCGGUAAUACGUAGGGGGCAAGCGUUGUCCGGAAUUAUUGGGCGUAAAGGGCGCGUAGGCGGGCCUUUAAGUCCGGUGUGAAAGAUCAGGGCUCAACCCUGAGAGUGCAUCGGAAACUGGAGGCCUUGAGGACAGGAGAGGAAAGUGGAAUUCCACGUGUAGCGGUGAAAUGCGUAGAUAUGUGGAGGAACACCAGUGGCGAAGGCGACUUUCUGGACUGUAACUGACGCUCAGACGCGAAAGCUAGGGUAGCAAACG